Molecule: ribosomal RNA, 497 nt
Filed under: uncultured bacterium
Lineage: Bacteria
Description: partial 16S ribosomal RNA
Rfam family: Bacterial small subunit ribosomal RNA
Source: RNAcentral
GAUGAACGCUGGCGGCGUGCCUAAUACAUGCAAGUCGAGCGAACAGACGAGGAGCUUGCUCCUCUGACGUUAGCGGCGGACGGGUGAGUAACACGUGGAUAACCUACCUAUAAGACUGGGAUAACUUCGGGAAACCGGAGCUAAUACCGGAUAAUAUUUUGAACCGCAUGGUUCAAUAGUGAAAGACGGUUUUGCUGUCACUUAUAGAUGGAUCCGCGCCGCAUUAGCUAGUUGGUAAGGUAACGGCUUACCAAGGCAACGAUGCAUAGCCGACCUGAGAGGGUGGUCGGCCCACACGGAACUUGAGCACCGUCCAGGCUCCUUACGGGGGGCAGCAUAGGGGAACUUUCGGCAAUGGGGGAAAGCUUGCCGGACAAAGGCGGGGGGAGUAAGGAAGGCUUUCGAACGGUAAAACCCUGUUAUUAGGAAAGAACAAAGGGGAAAGAACCGAUGCCAGUUUGACGGGACCUAAACAAGAAGGCACGGCUUAAUUCCGU